CACGUGCAGCAUAAAAGCAACUUUAUAAUAGUGCUUGAAAAAUGGAAAAAAUUCAAUGUUUUAAAAGGAAAAAUGCCUAAAUAUUGGCAUAGAAGAGUAUUUAAAUCAUUGAAGGGCGUUCUGAAGGCAAAGAAAGGUCUUCAACAAGAUACAUAAUGUAUCUUAAAGUACAAAUGUACAAAAGUAAACAAGCUGCAUGUGAUGACCGAUGAUAAUAAAAUAUGGCUGACAAUAAUAGUCAGUCAGUGGACUUGCCUUAAUGGCAUAUAUAGCUUGACAGAAAAAGUACAGAAGUACAGUCAAGCAGUAAACGGCCUCACUUGAUUGACAGACCAAAUUCAAAGAUCUGUCAUACAAACUCCAAGGAAUYCAAGGAAACCACCAAGACUAGAAUUUAAAAAAAGGGCUGGGGGGCUGGCUUAUAAUCAAGGAUUAGCAGUUAUUGCCUAUUUUCUCUUAGGGUAUAGUUUUCCAUGAAGCAAGAAAGUAAAAUUCUUCUUCAUUUGAAUGCACUUCUAGGUCAUAGUUUAAGUUAUCAACAAUGGAUCGUUGUUGAAGAMACAGGAUCASUUUUSAAGACACAGGUCUUAGAUGCCAGUCCUCCAGCCCCAGCAGUAGAUACAGGAGAGUGUCCUUCUAAGGGUCAGUAUAAUAGGUGGGCUUCAAUGAAGCCUUAGAUGUUUUUGACCGCAGAAAGAGUUUUUGGUAGGAUGUAUGUUAGGAUUGAUUUUUUAUCCGAAUCAGGCACUCUCCUGUAUCUACUGCUUUUUUUGGAAAUGAAAUAAACUUGAYUUGCCUCCCACGAGGCCCUGCCAGCACCUGGCAUGAGCCACCCCAGCAGGCCUAAUCCAUUUGGUAGUCCCGCUGCCCUGACUAGAGCCAAUCGGUUAUAAGGCCAAGACCAGCAAACUUAAGACUGCCCUGAUACUGGUGAUUGGCUGCAUGAAUGCCCAACCUCUCCCCUCUACAGACUYCAGGAGAGGACUCUGAUGUCAUUCAAGUUGGCUAAAAAGGUGAGGGUCAGUGCAAAUGUGAGUCUUCGGUGACCCUGCCCCACCAUUUACUGGUGUGCAUGACAGUGAUGUACUGGGUGAUCAGUAGGCUUGAAGUGAUGCUUCAUUCAGACUUCUCCAAACUAAGUGAUUAUCAAACUGACAUGGAAAACGAAAAGGGAUCUAUUCUGGGAUAAUAUUGUGGGUUUAAAUGUUGUUGGCAGCACUGAUAAAAUGGUCUCUACCACAGAUUGCAAUUUAAUUGAAGUUUUUUCACCAGCAAAGUGAAGACCUCAGCUACCUAAACCGAUACUUUGAACAAUGAAUUAAACUUCAACUGAACUACUUAACUAAAUGCMAUUUUGCGACAUACUUCAACUGCAGUGAGGAAAAUUAUUGGAGCAGACAAAUGUACAAAUGUAUGGUUUGUAUUAAAUGAAAUAUCGAGCAUAAAAAGGGAUUUUCAAAAUUACAAAAAAUCCCAAAAAUUAGAUCUCGUACAAUCCUUCUGCACAAAUGUAUUAGUCAUUACCUGUGCUAUCCAAGUUUAUCAUGCUUUAUCCGUCAAUCCCUAAACAUCAAAUAAACUAAAUAAUGGAGCUGAGGUCUUCAAAAAAUUAUUAACCUUCUAAAAUAUUUUCCAUUGUCGUGUGUUCAUGUUGAUUUAUGGCCACCAAGAACAAACUAUUUCUUUGCAAUAUCAAUUCAAAGCAUUUGAAAACAUGUGAGACUAUAUAAAAUGCUUUAUAGAUGGCUUAUGAAAGUACCAAAAUCAAGUACUGUCACUGAGAAGUGAUGAAAACUAUGAAUUUUUGAGGUAUAUAUAGAAAGCACUUUCAAGAAGAGUAUGAUUCAGCCUUGCAUUGAAACUGUUCCUUGGGCUGUUUGAAAGGAAAUGAAGUGCUCUAGUAAUUGGAUAGAACCAAUAACAGAAGGGUAAUUGAAAUGGAGCAUAAAGCUGCUCAAUAUAGCUGGAUAUUUACAAGCACAGUAAAUGAUGUGYAUUCAAUAAUUGAGCCAACAAGCCAUCAAGACUGAUGCAGUUUAUGAUUACAUAAAGCUCCAUGUUGAUAUUGGUAGUAAGAUUAUACGGCCAGUUUAUUUAAACUGUUACGGCACUUCACUUGUYUCAAGUUUCUUUGCUGGUGAAAAAACUAUCUUAGGCUAAUAUUAAAAUGAUUCAACUUUUUUUUGCCACCAUUUCUCAAUCUAAUCUUAACUCGGUAUGGGUAAGGAGUAAACUUAAAACUACAUGAGAUACAAGGCUCUUGAGUACACAAGACGUAACGCUAUCAGAAGAUAUUCAAGAUGGCGUCCAGGCUAAUCAAUUCAAUAUGGCUUCCAGAUCAAUCAAUUCAAAAUGGCUCCCAGGUUAAUCAAUUCAAAAUGGCUUCCAGGCUAAUUCAAAAUGGCCUCUGUCUAGGCUAAUCAAUUCAAAAUGGCUUCCAGGCUAAUUGUUCAAAAUGGCUUCCAUGUUAAUCAAUUCAAAAUGGCUUCCAGGCUAAUUGAUUCAAAAUGGCUUCCAUGUUAAUCAAUUCAAAAUGGUGGCAAAGUAAAUUAAAGUUAAACUUCUAGACUUUUCCAAUUAAAUUACAUGGUGGUAGUUGGCCUAUCGGUUAAGACCUUCGCAUUUAACCCGCUCUAUUAUCCCAGAAUGAAAUGUUUUAGUUUUCCUGUCAGAUUUGAUAAUCAGAACUUAUGGCGGAGUUGUCUGAAUGUUGCGAAGUGAUGAGCCUAUUGAUCACACAGUGCAUCACUGUCACACACACCAGUGAAUGGURGGGMRGGGUCACUGGAGACUCACAUUUGCACCGACCCUCACCAUUAUAGCCAACUUGAAUGACAUCAGAGUCCCCCCCUGAAGUCUGUAGAGGGGGGAGGUUGGGCAUUCAURCAGUCAGUCUCCARUAUCAGGGCAGUCUUAAGUUUGCUGGUCUUGGCCUUAUAACUUGGCUCUAGUCAGGGCAGCGGGACUACCAAAUGGAUUAGGCCUGUGGGGUGGCAAGAGAAUUGGUGCUGGUGGGGUCUCGGGGAGGCAUAUUUCUUUUUUAAAGUCAAAUGGGCGUGUACCCUAUAGAGAUGGAAUACAUUAAAGACACUAAAGUCAAA
Molecule: long non-coding RNA, 3101 nt
Organism: Exaiptasia diaphana
Lineage: Eukaryota; Metazoa; Cnidaria; Anthozoa; Actiniaria; Aiptasiidae
Exons: 4
Source: RefSeq, a predicted model, not a curated record